CGCGUAGGCGGUUUGUACAGUUGGGCGUGAAAUUCCUGGGCUUAACCUGGGGGCUGCGUUCAAUACGUGCGGACUUGAGUUUGGAAGAGGGUCGUGGAAUUCCCAGUGUAGAGGUGAAAUUCGUAGAUAUUGGGAAGAACACCGGUGGCGAAGGCGGCGACCUGGUCCUGGACUGACGCUGAGGCGCGAAAGCGUGGGGAGCAAACAGGAUUAGAUACCCUGGUAGUCCACGCUGUAAACGAUGUGCGCUGGAUGUUGGGCGACCUAGUCGCUCAGUGUCGUAGCUAACGCGAUAAGCGCACCGCCUGGGGAGUACGGCCGCAAGGUUGAA
RNAcentral lists this ribosomal RNA (331 nucleotides) under uncultured bacterium. Its description in RNAcentral is "bacterial SSU rRNA". It matches the Rfam family "Bacterial small subunit ribosomal RNA", at positions 568 to 898 of the family's 1533-position model. The record is from RNAcentral.